Molecule: non-coding RNA, 249 nt
Organism: Podarcis lilfordi (Lilford's wall lizard)
Lineage: Eukaryota; Metazoa; Chordata; Lepidosauria; Squamata; Lacertidae
Source: the annotation of a GenBank genome assembly
GCUGGGAUAGCUCAGUCGGCAAAGCACGGGGCUCGUAAUCUCAGGUUCGCAGGUUUUCUAAGAAUAAGAAUUAAAAAAACUUGUCUGGGGUAGCUCAUCUCAAAGACUAGCUAGCUAUGUCGCUACGUGGAGAAUCGCUUCCUUUUCUCCAAAUCUCCCUGCAUCCAGCUUUCUGGGGAACGGACGCAGAGGCAGAACAUCUGUCCCGAUUGCAGAAGGUCGCAGGUUCGAUUCCCUGCAUUUCCUGCU